UGAGAAACGUGAGUUUGUCAUCAUUUUUUAUCUAGACAUAGGAUAGGUUGUGUGAAAAUAUUACUGAUGUUUAACGUUAAAAAUGGACCAAAAGAUUAAUGCUAAACAACAUUUGACAUGUUUGAACGAACAUAAAUAGAUUAUUUACUAGGUUUUUUUAGCUUUUCGGCGUGAUUUUACCAGCCCCCCAACCACGUUUUGUGGGAGCAUAAUGAACGCUAAGUACUUGGUGUUAUUUGGACAUAAAUUAUGAACUUUGUCAAAAGAAAACACAUUUGUUCCGGACCUGGAAUGCCUUCCGGACCUGGGAUCCUGCCUUCUGAUGGAGAUAAUCAAAGACAGCCGUUACACAGACAUAUCUCAACAUCAACUGUUCAGAGGAGAAUGAGUGAAUCAGGCCGAAUUGCUGCAAAGAAACCACUACUAAAUAACACCAAUAAUAAGAAGAGACUUGCUUGGGCCAAGAAACACGAGCAGUGUAAAUUAAACCGGUGGAAUCUGUCCUUUCGUCUGAUGAGUCCAAAUUUGAGAUUUUUGGUUCCAACCGCCAUGUCUUUGUGAGAUGCAAAAAUUCAAGGCACACUUAACCAGCAUGGCUACCACAGCAUUCUGCAGCGAUACACCAUUCCAUCUGGUUUGAGCUUAGUGGAACUAUCAUUUGUUUAUCAACAGUACAAUGACCCGACACCUCCAGGCUGUGUAAGGUCUAUUUGACCAAGAAGGAGAAUGAUCGAGUGCUGCAUCAGCUGGCCUGGCCUCCACCAUCACCUGACCUCAUUGAGAUGGUUUGGGAUGAGUUGGACCACCGAGUAUAGGAAAAGCAGCUAACAAGUGCUCAGCAUAUGUGGGAACUCCUUCAAGACUGUUAGAAUAGCAUUCCAGGUGAAGAUGGUUGAGAGAAGGCCAAGAGUGUGAAAAGCUGUCACUAAGGUUAAAGGGUGGCUAUUUUGAAGAUUCUCAUCUAAAAUAUAUUUUGAUUUGUUUAACACUUUUUUUGGGGUACUGCAUUAUUUCAUAUGUGUUAUUUCAAAGUUUUGAUAUCCUCACUAUUCAACAAUGUAGAAAAUUGUAAAAAUAAAGAAAAACCCUUGAAUGAGUAGGUGUGUCC
Molecule: long non-coding RNA, 1108 nt
Filed under: Salmo salar (Atlantic salmon)
Lineage: Eukaryota; Metazoa; Chordata; Actinopteri; Salmoniformes; Salmonidae
Description: lncRNA (ENSSSAG00000117723.1)
Source: RNAcentral